AUUGAACGCUGGCGGCGUGCCUAACACAUGCAAGUCGAGCGGUAACAGGUGUAGCAAUACAUGCUGACGAGCGGCGGACGGGUGAGUAACGCUUGGGAAUCUGCCUAUUAGUGGGGGACAACCCGGGGAAACUCGGGCUAAUACCGCAUACGCUCUACGGAGGAAAGCCGGGGACCGCAAGGCCUGGCGCUAAUAGAUGAGCCCAAGUCGGAUUAGCUAGUUGGUAGGGUAAGGCCUACCAAGGCGACGAUCCGUAACUGGUCUGAGAGGACGACCAGUCACACCGGAACUGAGACACGGUCCGGACUCCUACGGGAGGCAGCAGUGGGGAAUAUUGGACAAUGGGCGAAAGCCUGAUCCAGCGACGCCGCGUGGGUGAAGAAGGCCUGCGGGUUGUAAAG
RNAcentral lists this ribosomal RNA (401 nucleotides) under uncultured bacterium. RNAcentral's name for it is "bacterial SSU rRNA". It matches the Rfam family "Bacterial small subunit ribosomal RNA", at positions 29 to 430 of the family's 1533-position model. The record is from RNAcentral.